UCUAUCAGCCGGGUUAUCGGGUAUUACGCAAGUAGUAUCAGGAAAGUCCGGACAGCAAAGGGCAACACACCGGUUAAUGGCCGGUUUUGUUAUGGUUGGUGGUAACACUAACUAUGGCGGAAAGAAAGUGCCACAGAAAAUUACCACCCCCAACUUGUUGGGGGCCAGGGUGAAAACGUGAGGUAAGAGCUCACGGGUUUUUGCAGUAAUGCAUUAAUUGGGUAAACCUUGUGUGCUGUAAUGCCACGUAUAUCAGCGUUUGAGGGCGGCUCGUUCAACCCCCAACUAGUUGGGGGGCGCUGAAGGGUAGGCAGCAAGAUUGUAACAGUAAUGUUGCAGCCAGAUAAAUGAUAACCUCUCCCAAUUUUUUGGGAUGACAGAAUCCGGCUUACAGGCUGAUAGAUUUU
Molecule: RNase P RNA, 407 nt
Filed under: Ferruginibacter sp.
Lineage: Bacteria; Pseudomonadati; Bacteroidota; Chitinophagia; Chitinophagales; Chitinophagaceae
Description: RNase P RNA component class A
Rfam family: Bacterial RNase P class A
About the family: Ribonuclease P (RNase P) is a ubiquitous endoribonuclease, found in archaea, bacteria and eukarya as well as chloroplasts and mitochondria. Its best characterised activity is the generation of mature 5'-ends of tRNAs by cleaving the 5'-leader elements of precursor-tRNAs. Cellular RNase Ps are ribonucleoproteins.
Source: RNAcentral